CGGACUCCGUCCACGAUUUCUGCAGCAAGGAAGACUCCGCCCGGACUCCUAUGGGAGCCAGACUCCGUCCAUGAUUUCUACAGCAAGGAAGACUCCGCCUGGACUCCUACGGGAGCCGGGCUCCGUCCAUGACUUCUACAGCAAGGAAGACUCCACCCGGACUCCUACGGGAGCCGGGCUCCGUCCACGACUUCUACAGCAAGGAAGACUCCGCCCGGACUCCUACGGGAGCCGGGCUCCAUCCAUGACUUCUACAGCAAGGA
Molecule: long non-coding RNA, 263 nt
Filed under: Elaeis guineensis (African oil palm)
Lineage: Eukaryota; Viridiplantae; Streptophyta; Magnoliopsida; Arecales; Arecaceae
Description: long non-coding RNA (EGUI_LNC073990)
Source: RNAcentral